CGGCGGACGGGUGAGUAACACGUGGAUAACCUACCUAUAAGACUGGGAUAACUUCGGGAAACCGGAGCUAAUACCGGAUAAUAUAUUGAACCGCAUGGUUCAAUAGUGAAAGACGGUUUUGCUGUCACUUAUAGAUGGAUCCGCGCCGCAUUAGCUAGUUGGUAAGGUAACGGCUUACCAAGGCAACGAUGCGUAGCCGACCUGAGAGGGCGAUCGGCCACACUGGAACUGAGACACGGUCCAG
This 244-nucleotide ribosomal RNA is filed under the name uncultured Staphylococcus sp. Its description in RNAcentral is "partial 16S ribosomal RNA". It matches the Rfam family "Bacterial small subunit ribosomal RNA", at positions 96 to 334 of the family's 1533-position model. The record is from RNAcentral. Lineage: Bacteria; Bacillati; Bacillota; Bacilli; Caryophanales; Staphylococcaceae.